UCAUGUUGUUGUUUGGAGUGGACUUUCACAUGACCGAGUGUGUCAGUUCCAGUGUGAGGAAAGAUAUGAUGAAAACAGACGCAGACUCGAUACUAUAGUACUCAUGGCUUUAUUGCAGGAAUCUGUCAGUGCUCUUCUAGAGAGAAGAGGCUGGUUUGGUGACCGGGAAGAUUUCAGCGUAAUGCUUCAAUCCAGUCCAGUGCACAUCGAACUGUCAAACCCAAUCAAAGCCUUUACGUCGGACUCCUCACGUGACAUAAGCUUGUUGACCUUACAACUCUGGACUAAUUUGGUAAGUUAAUAUUAUGCGUGUGUACAUUGUU
Molecule: long non-coding RNA, 323 nt
Organism: Carassius auratus (goldfish)
Lineage: Eukaryota; Metazoa; Chordata; Actinopteri; Cypriniformes; Cyprinidae
Exons: 4
Source: RefSeq, a predicted model, not a curated record